GAUGAACGCUGGCGGCGUGCCUAAUACAUGCAAGUCGAGCGAACAGACGAGGAGCUUGCUCCUUCGACGUUAGCGGCGGACGGGCGAGUAACACGUAGGUAACCUACCUAUAAGACUGGGAUAACUUCGGGAAACCGGAGCUAAUACCGGAUAAUAUUUCGAACCGCAUGGUUCGAUAGUGGAAGAUGGCUUUGCUAUCACUUAUAGAUGGACCUGCGCCGUAUUAGCUAGUUGGUAAGGUAACGGCUUACCAAGGCAACGAUACGUAGCCGACCUGAGAGGGUGAUCGGCCACACAGGAACUGAGACACGGUCCAGACUCCUACGGGAGGCAGCAGUAGGGAAUCUGCCGCAAUGGGCGAAAGCCUGACGGAGCAACGCCGCGUGAGUGAUGAAGGUCUUCGGAUCGUAAAACUCUGUUAUUAGGGAAGAACAAACGUGUAAGUAACUGUGCACGUCUUGACGGUACCUAAUCAGAAAGCCACGGCUAACUACGUG
Molecule: ribosomal RNA, 497 nt
Filed under: uncultured bacterium
Lineage: Bacteria
Description: partial 16S ribosomal RNA
Rfam family: Bacterial small subunit ribosomal RNA
Source: RNAcentral